UGUGCCGGCUGGGGGGUGGCGUGGGGGCUGAGAGGCGUGAGGGCUGAGGGGAGGACGUGUAUGCUGAGUGGCGUGGGGGCUGAGGGGAGUGUGGGGCCCAGGUGAGGGGCAGACUGAGGGGAGGGCGUGCGGCCCAGGAAAGGGUUUAAGGACCAGGAGAAGAGAGCUGUGAUGACCUCAUCUGACUGGGUGAGGUCGAAGGUGGACCUGUGUGCUGGUGACUGUAUGUAUUAGGCUGAAACUAGGGGCUGCGUAUGUCUGUGUGUGUCCCACUAUGUAUGGCCUCCUGUGUCCUUGCCUGUGCACGUGUCUGUGUGUCUGUGUGUGUGUGUGUGCGUGCGCGCGCUACCUGUCUUGGUCUCUUUCGGGGUCUCUGUGGCCAGCAUCCACCGCUGUCUAGCCUUUACCUGUCUCUGUGGGGGAGGUCUCUGAGUGACCGCCUGUGUCCAUGUCUGUGUGUGUCUGCCUUUAUUUCUGUCCAUGGUGUCUCAGUCUGAGGGUGCCAGUGGGUGUCUACCCGUGUCUCGUCUUUCCCUCUGUAUCUGUGUCUCUGGGUGUGAGUAUGUCUGUGAGAGUGGGGAGUGUUUCUCCUGUCUGUGUCUUUAUGUGCCCACCUGUAUCUGUGUCUCUGGAUGUUGCUGAGUGUUUGUGUGUGACUGUCGGGGCAGAUUAAGUGUGUGGGUGCAUCUGGGUGUGCCCUCCCAAAAGCAUGUGUGAAAGACUGCAUGCCUGGACGGGUGGGCCAGGCAGAGCACCUGCCUUCUUGUUCCCACAUUCCCCAGCUCCUUCCUGCCCCUCAGAGCCUUGCCUGGUGACAGGAUAUGGGGCUUCCCACUGGACCAUCUCAAGGGAAGGAGAAUGGGGUUGAUUUGUUAAAGAAAUUUGUGUUGGGUGCUCAGAGUGCUGUUCCUGGCACUCUCCCAAGUCUUGUUUACAGACCUCCCAGUAACUCUGAGAUAGGGACCUUCAACAUCCCCAUUUUACAGAUGGGGAAACCGAGGCAAUCAGGUUCCAGAGCCCCUGCACUUAACCAUCUGACAGAUGGGACAUUCUUGUUUCCUUUCUCUCCUCUGAGAAAAAGUUGUAGGAUUUUUCCCUGUGGGAAUUUCCCUGUAGAAACAAUGGAAGGAAGGAAAUGACAGAAAGCCUGGAUUGGGGAAGAGGAGGAAUGAGGGAUCUCCUGGCUUUGUGGCAACACAGAUCUCAGGCCACACUGGGUUCAGUGGUCACCAGCCUCAUGCACAUGUCACUUCCAGGGCCACUGUGCCUUCAUGCCUCUUUUCUCCAAAAAAAAAAUAAAUAAAUAAAAAUAAAAAUUAUAGUGAUUGCAUUAAUAUAAGGACAAAGAUAAUCCAAGCUGGAUUAGAGUCUUUUUUUCUUAUAAUUUUAAAAGAAAUGAAGACAUUUUCAUGGGCCACUCCAGGUAUCAGGGGCUCUGGGCCCAGAGUGCCUCCUGGGUAAAUGGGCUCUGGUCACUUCCACAUCCAGCAAAAGGAAUGGGUGUUGUUGACUGUCAGAGACUGAUAGUCCAAAAGAUAUAUAUUUUUAAAAUUAAAUUCUGCUUAAUAAAUUAUGACAGUAAUAUGAAGUCACUGCACCCAGAGACACAAAGGAAUACAAGGGGAAAAAAACUGAUACCCCCUUUCGCAUUUCCUCUCCCCUCGGGACACCAGUCACUAUCCAUCAUUCCACAGCCUUCCCCAGGCUUGGAAACACUGCCCAGAAGCACAGGUACCCAGGAGUGUUGGUUGUUUUCACACAGAGGGGUUAAAGUUAUGUAGAAAACCAUGGAACUUGCUUUCCUCAUUUAAUGACAUCACAGAUAUGUCCACAGGUUAGGAACUAACUCCUACUUCCUAGGGCAACCUGGUAUUUCAAACGAUGCCUUGCCAUUUGUCUGACCCUUCCUUUACUGAUGGCUAGAUUUUGUCUCCAGGGCUUUUCUGUUGGUUGGUUGGUUGGUUUGUGCUUUGCCUCUAGGAACAGUGAGUGCUACAAUAAACAUCUUUUGUCCACGUAUAACUUUUCACAUGGAGCUUUUAGGCGGAGUCCCAGGACCAGGGUUGCUGGGUUAUGGGUUAGUCCACUUUCCAGCUCAUUCUCCAGAAAGGUUGAGGGGCUUUUGUUCCUUCAGCUGUGUGUGGGAGGCCCGUUUCCUUGCAUCUUUGCUUGUGCUAGAAGUUGGCUCAUUUAUUCAUAACUUUUUUUUUUUUCAAUGUGUGGUUGCCUUCCAUGUGCCAGAUAUUGUCCUAGGUGCUAGAGACACAAUCCAAAAUGAUCAUCUCAGUUCUGCCCCUGAAGGUACCCCCCGGGCAACUGCAUCCCGCUCAUUGGAACAUACUCAACUAACAACAGUAAUAGUAAAUAACAGCUAAUCUGUAUUAGUUCUUACAGUGUGCUGCACAGCCCCCAAGCUCCUUAUGAGUAUCAAUUAGUUGAAACUUUCAGUAACUCCAUGAGAUCUGGGGGAGCCCCAGAGGGGUGGGGGUGGCGUUGGGGCAUUGUGGGGCCUUGGGCCAGCCCUCAGACCCAGGGAGAGGCACAGGGCCCUGUUGUUCCCUCCAGCUUGUGGUACUGGCAAUGUGUGUGCGUGUUGGGGGUGUAUUGGUGUGUGGGUGUCUGGGCAUGCAUUUGGGGGACAAUAAGCUCGUGGACCGGGAUGUUCUCAGCCCAUCUCCAAUCCCAGCUCUGUAAUCUUAGAUGAGUGGCUUAUCUCUUUGGGCCUUCGUUUCCUCAUCUAUGAAAUGGGGUGGGUAGAAAUAGUACCUUGUAGGGGUGUUAGGAACAAUGAGAGGCGUUUGUUAAGUGCCUUGCAUCUGAUAGGCCCCUUACGUAUUCGCUAUUAAUGUGUCUGCGUGUCCGUCUGUCCUGUCUGCAUUGUGAGGCAGGCCUAGACCUGCUCUCUCACUGUGCCUCCCUUUUUCUCUCCCCACCCCACAGGCUGCCUGUCCCCCGCUCACUGGUCACUGUGGGCAGUGAAGGGAUGGCCACCCAGCCGCUGACUGAUGAGGCCCUGGAUCAAGGGCCCUGGCCAAGUCUCCUGGGAGCUGUGUCCACCCUGAGGAGGAAUGGUAGUGCCUUGACACUGGCUUCAGUCAACAGAGGACAGGACAACUCAGGAGUGACCUGUCCUGGAGACACUGGUGGGCUCACCUGGGAAGUGGUGGCUUAAACAUGUAACAUCAAGUGUGAAAAAGGACCCUGUAGAGGGGCCCAGACAAUACAGUGCUGGACACGUGACUUUCAAAAGUGGGCAGAUAGCACUAAUGUUUGGGAAUGGGGAGAAGGACACUUGUAGGUAGGGGCACGUGUACGUCCCCAGCUCACGCCAUGAUGUUUUAUGGUAUUUCAAAGGGUGGUAUGGAUAUGGCUAUUUGUGGUAUUUUUCUCUAAACUUUCUUUUAUGCAAGAACUAUUUCAUAAUUAAAAAAUUACACAGGCAUAAAUUUUGUAUGAUUUAUUCAAGAGUGGUUCCUUGCAGAGGUAGGUUGGGGUGAGUAUUUUUAAGGCCUUUCAUAAAGCUUCAUAGUUCUCUCUCCUUUGGUUUGGGCACUUUAUUCUCCCACCAGGAUGCAGGAGAGGCUGCCACUGGUUUAUGUCAGCCAUUGUCAGGUAUUUAUUCUGCUCACUGGAUAUAAAUGACAAAUGGUAUAAACCUGGAGCAGGGUAGGUGACAACUGGUAUCAUGUGAUCUCUGAGUAGCAUCAUUUGUAUUAUUAGUGAGUUUCGAUUUUAAGGAAAUGUUUCUUAGCCAUUUCUGUGGGCAGGUAAAUUAUCCUGUGCUUUGCCGUUCUACAGGAAUCUUAAUAUUCUGGAAGUUUUUAAAGAAUGUGUAUGUGUGUGUAUGUGUGUAUAUAUAUUUGUGGCAAAUAUUCUUCCUGGUUUGCUUUUUAUUUCUUAAUUUAUUUUCUUUUUCAUAAGUAUAAAAGCAUUGCAUAUUUUAAAAAUCUAAUCUAUCAUCUCUCCGUUUCUGGUGUCUUGAAGAUGUAAAAGGGAUGUCCAUCCAAAGGUCGCACAUCACCUAUAUAUCUUUUUUCAUUUAUCAUUUGGGUGUUAACAGAGAACUUUUGAGACUUUUGUUUCCACCUGGAAUUUGUCUUGCUGUACAAAUAUGUCAGUUCACUUACCCGUGAGUUUUGGUUUGUUGUGUUCCCAUUAACACCUUUAUCGAGAUACACCCCACAUAUCACAAAAUACAAUUCAUUGCUUUUUUGGUAUAGUCACAGAAUUGUGCAACCAUCACCACAGUCAAUUCUAGAAUAUUUUCAUCACCCCAAGAAGGAACCGUGUAUCCAUCACCACUCACUCUCACUUCCCCUCAUCAACUCGUAGCCCCGGCAACCACUAAUUUACUUUUUGUCUCUGGAUUGGCCUAUUCUGGACAUUUUGUAUAAGUGGAAUCAUACACUAUGUGGUCUUUUACAUGUGGCUUCUUUCAUGGAGCAUGUUUUUGAUGUUCACAUAUGGUGUAAUGUGUGCUUUGUUUGUUUUCAUAGCUGAAUAAUAUUCCAUCGUAUGGGUAGAGUAUAUAUUAUUUAUUCAUUCAUCAGGUGGUGGACAUUUGGGCUAAUUCCACUUCUUGGUUAUUAUUGGUGAUGCUGCUGUGAACAGGAGCAUACAAGUGCUUUGUUUGAGCUUGUGUCUCAUUUCUCUUGGGUGUAGGAGUGGAAUUGCUGAGUCCUUUGUUAACUUUCUGUUUAACCAUUUAAGGAACAAUCGGACUGUUUUCCAACUUGGCUGCACCCUGAUGUCUUCAUUUUUAACCUGUCUUUGAUUGUCACCUUGAUUUCUUCUUUCGCCAACAUUACUUAGAAGGAUUUGUCCAUUGUUGUCAUUUCAAUGUGGUUGAUUUGGGGCUUAAGUUUGUUUUCAUUUUUUUCUUAGUAUAAUUACAUUCUGAUUUUUUUUUUUUUAAUGGAGCCUCUCUGACUUCAGCUCUUUGGAAGCAGGUGAAGUUUUCCUUGUGGUGAAAUGGUUUGUGUCAUUAGACAGGAAACCAAAAUAGAUGAAGCCCUAGAGUGAGUAGCCUCAGACACGUGCACACAAAGAACUCAAAGAGGGUCUGCUCGCUGAGGUGAAGAGGAGAGCAGCUUCUGUGUCUGCCUUCACAUCCUUGCUAUAUGGCAUGGACUCUAAGACUUCUAGGACCAUCUGUUUUCUUUUCAGUAAAUUCGCAUGCCAGCCCGGGCUCAAUACAUGGAGCCUGUACAGUAAAUAUUUCAUUGAGUGAAUUCAUUGAGGUGAGACAUACUUAGCAAGAACUUUCAGAAGGAAUUGCAUUUAAAAAUUAAAACAAAAUAAAGGAGUCACAUGGAAA
This is a long non-coding RNA of Pteropus alecto (black flying fox), 5317 nucleotides long. RefSeq lists it as uncharacterized. The transcript has 2 exons. Lineage: Eukaryota; Metazoa; Chordata; Mammalia; Chiroptera; Pteropodidae. The record is from RefSeq and is a predicted model, not a curated record.